This 988-nucleotide ribosomal RNA is filed under the name Dehalococcoidia bacterium. RNAcentral describes it as "bacterial SSU rRNA". It matches the Rfam family "Bacterial small subunit ribosomal RNA", at positions 1 to 1001 of the family's 1533-position model. The record is from RNAcentral. Lineage: Bacteria; Bacillati; Chloroflexota; Dehalococcoidia.
AAUUUAAGAGUUUGAUCCUGGCUCAGGACGAACAUUGGCGGCGCGCCUAAUGCAUGCAAGUCGAGCGGGCUCGUUUUCUUCGGAAAGCAUAUAGCUAGCGGCAAACGGCUGAGUAACGCGUGAGUAACCUGCCUCGAAGAGGGGAAAAACCAUGAGAAAUCAUGGCUAAUUCCGCGUAAUGUCGAUUAAUUAAUUUAAUCGAAGAAAGAAUUUAUUCGCUUUGAGAUGGGCUUGCGUCCUAUCAGGUAGUUGGUGAGGUAAUGGCUCACCAAGCCUAAGACGGGUAGCUGGAGUGAGAGCUUGACCAGCCAGAGGGGGACUGAGACACGGCCCCCACUCCUACGGGAGGCAGCAGCAGGGAAUCUUGCACAAUGGGCGAAAGCCUGAUGCAGCGACGCCGCGUGAGGGAUGAAGGUUUUCGGAUCGUAAACCUCUUUUCUUAGGGAAUAGUUUGGAAGGUACCUAAGGAAUAAGUCACGGCUAACUACGUGCCAGCAGCCGCGGUAAUACGUAGGUGGCAAAUGUUGUCCGGAAUUAUUGGGCGUAAAGGGUCCGUAGGUGGCUUGAAAAGUCUCAUGUAAAAUCUCUUGGCUCAACCAAGAAACGCCAUGAGAAACUUUCUGGCUAGAGACCAUCAGAGGGAGGUAGAAUUCCAGGUGUAGUGGUGAAAUGCGUAGAUAUCUGGAGGAAUACCAAUGGCGAAAGCAGCCUCCUGGGGUGGCUCUGACACUGAGGGACGAAAGCGUGGGUAGCAAACCGGAUUAGAUACCCGGGUAGUCCACGCUGUAAACGAUGAAUACUGGGUCUUCGGGGAAUCGACCCCUUGUGGACCGAAGCUAACGCGUUAAGUAUUCCGCCUGGGGAGUACGGUCGCAAGACUAAAACUCAAAGGAAUUGACGGGGGCCCGCACAAGCAGCGGAGCGUGUGGUUUAAUUCGAUGGUAAACGAAGAACCUUACCUAGGUUUGACAUAUAAGUGGUAGCGAUC